CUCGGUGGCCAUGCCGGAGGGGUCACACCCGUUCCCAUUCCGAACACGGAAGUUAAGCCCUCCAGGGCCGAUGUUACUGCCCCCGCGAGGGGGUGGGAAAGUAGGACGCCGCCGGGA
Molecule: ribosomal RNA, 117 nt
Filed under: Nitrospirae bacterium RIFCSPHIGHO2_01_FULL_66_17
Lineage: Bacteria; Pseudomonadati; Nitrospirota
Also listed under: 1 other name
Source: RNAcentral